This 531-nucleotide ribosomal RNA is filed under the name Bifidobacterium dentium. RNAcentral describes it as "bacterial SSU rRNA". It matches the Rfam family "Bacterial small subunit ribosomal RNA", at positions 157 to 699 of the family's 1533-position model. The record is from RNAcentral. Lineage: Bacteria; Bacillati; Actinomycetota; Actinomycetes; Bifidobacteriales; Bifidobacteriaceae.
CGGGUGGUAAUGCCGGAUGCUCCGGUUGGAUGCAUGUCCUUCCGGGAAAGAUCCGUCGGUAUGGGAUGGGGUCGCGUCCUAUCAGCUUGAUGGCGGGGUAACGGCCCACCAUGGCUUCGACGGGUAGCCGGCCUGAGAGGGCGACCGGCCACAUUGGGACUGAGAUACGGCCCAGACUCCUACGGGAGGCAGCAGUGGGGAAUAUUGCACAAUGGGCGCAAGCCUGAUGCAGCGACGCCGCGUGCGGGAUGGAGGCCUUCGGGUUGUAAACCGCUUUUGAUCGGGAGCAAGCCCUUCGGGGUGAGUGUACCUUUCGAAUAAGCACCGGCUAACUACGUGCCAGCAGCCGCGGUAAUACGUAGGGUGCAAGCGUUAUCCGGAAUUAUUGGGCGUAAAGGGCUCGUAGGCGGUUCGUCGCGUCCGGUGUGAAAGCCCAUCGCUUAACGGUGGGUCUGCGCCGGGUACGGGCGGGCUGGAGUGCGGUAGGGGAGACUGGAAUUCCCGGUGUAACGGUGGAAUGUGUAGAUAUCG